Molecule: ribosomal RNA, 1443 nt
Filed under: Triticum aestivum (bread wheat)
Lineage: Eukaryota; Viridiplantae; Streptophyta; Magnoliopsida; Poales; Poaceae
Description: partial small subunit ribosomal RNA
Source: RNAcentral
AUGAUAUCUAUAGAAGAUAAAGACAUGGAAACAGCAUACCCCCUUUCUUUCCUGUUCUCUUCGAAUAUCAAAAUACUGUUGUUUUGCUUUUGUAACAGCUAUCAAGAUGCAGCAGAGAAAGAUGUCAAGAGAUAUGAACGUUCAUUCAAAAAGCUUUCUCCUGCCCACAAGGAACUUCUAUUUCACCUUGGUCUUAAGUACCAACGACUGAGAUGGUGUAUAUCCAUGAAUAUAUCUUUUAUCAUGAAUAUGCUUGAGGCAUUUGAACCUCCUUUCGACAUGAGUCAGUGUGUAGAUGGUGAUUGUCAUGAUUGUGCAGAGCACAUGCACGGACAUAGUCAUGCUGAUACCAUAAAUAAUUCUGAAUUGCUUGCUCAGCAUUGUUGCCCAGAGGAAGGUGCAAAUACUAGAGAAACUGAGAACAAGAAGGAUGAGGAAGUCCACAUGGUGGGCUGCUCCCAGCCUGCUGCCUGCAACUUGGGGAUAUCCCAAGGUGAAGAUAAAUCAUGUAAUGAUGGUAAAGAUGCGAGUGCAGCUGCUAACUGUCAAGAUACAGAUUGUUUUGCAUCUUCUACUGAUGAAAAUGUAACUCCAGGGCACCGCAGGGCUCCAUCUUUGCCACUGGAUGUUCCUCCAGUUGACGUUGACAAAGUAAGAUGCAUCAUAAGAAAUAUUGUGAGAGACUGGGCCCAGGAGGGUCAAAUUGAACGUGAUGAGUGCUAUAAACCAAUUCUUGAGGAACUUAAUCGUCUUUUUCCUGACCGAAGCAGGCCACCUUCAUGUUUAGUCCCUGGUGCUGGGCUUGGGAGAUUGGCUCUGGAGAUCUCUUCUCUGGGUUUUGUAAGCCAGGGAAAUGAGUUCUCAUAUUACAUGAUGAUCUGUUCAAGUUUCAUUCUAAACCACACCCAAGAGGCCAAUGAAUGGACCAUUUAUCCUUGGAUACACAACAAUUGCAAUUCUCUUUCAGACAAAGAUCAACUUCGGGCUGUUUCAUUUCCUGAUAUUCAUCCCUCAAGUGCUGGGAUAACUGAAGGAUUUUCGAUGUGUGCUGGAGAUUUUGUAGAGGUCUACAAUGAGGAAAGCCAAGAAUCUGCAUGGGAUGCUGUUGUAACUUGCUUCUUCCUCGAUACGGCACACAAUAUUGUUGAAUAUAUUGAGAUAAUAUCAAAAAUUCUCAAGGAUGGUGGAGUCUGGGUAAACAUGGGUCCGCUUCUUUAUCACUUUGCUGAUGCCUAUGGACCAGAUGAUGAUAUGUCUAUCGAACUAAGUUUGGAAGACGUGAAAAGGGUAGCUUACCAUUAUGGAUUUGUGAUGGAGGUGGAGAAAAUGAUAGAUACCACUUACACAGCAAAUAUGGUAUCGAUGAUGCAGAAUCGAUACCGCGCGGCAUUUUGGACGAUGAGGAAGGACGCGUCUCGAUCGAAAGCUAAAAAGCGCCAGUGA